AACGAACGCUGGCGGCAUGCCUAACACACGCAAGUCGAACGAGACCUUCGGGUCUAGUGGCGCACGGGUGCGUAACGCGUGGGAACCUGCCCUUAGGUUCGGAAUAACUCCCCGAAAGGGGUGCUAAUACCGGAUAAUGUCUUCGGACCAAAGAUUUAUCGCCUUUGGAUGGGCCCGCGUUGGAUUAGCUAGUUGGUAGGGUAAAAGCCUACCAAGGCGACGAUCCAUAGCUGGUCUGAGAGGAUGAUCAGCCACACUGGGACUGAGACACGGCCCAGACUCCUACGGGAGGCAGCAGUGGGGAAUAUUGGACAAUGGGCGAAAGCCUGAUCCAGCAAUGCCGCGUGAGUGAUGAAGGCCUUAGGGUUGUAAAGCUCUUUUACCCGGGAUGAUAAUGACAGUACCGUGAGAAUAAGCGCCGGCUAACUCCGUG
RNAcentral lists this ribosomal RNA (433 nucleotides) under uncultured bacterium. RNAcentral describes it as "partial 16S ribosomal RNA". It matches the Rfam family "Bacterial small subunit ribosomal RNA", at positions 29 to 507 of the family's 1533-position model. The record is from RNAcentral.